This 569-nucleotide ribosomal RNA is filed under the name Tetracapsuloides bryosalmonae. RNAcentral describes it as "SSU rRNA". It matches the Rfam family "Eukaryotic small subunit ribosomal RNA", at positions 899 to 1497 of the family's 1831-position model. The record is from RNAcentral. Lineage: Eukaryota; Metazoa; Cnidaria; Myxozoa; Malacovalvulida; Saccosporidae.
CGGCCGCGAGAGGUGAAAUUCUAAGACCGGCCGAGGUCUAACAAAAGCGAAAGCAUUUGCCAAGAAUGUUUUCAUUGAUCAAGAACGAAAGUUGGAGGAGCGAAAACGAUCAGAUACCGUUGUAGUUCCAACUUUAAACUAUGCCGGCUGUCGGGGCCAGUUCGGUACAUCCGUACUAAUUGACCUCCCAGGGAAACCUUAGCAGGGUUCUGGGGGGAGUACGGUCGCAAGUCUGAAACUUAAAGGAAUUGACGGAAGGGCACCACCAGGAGUGGAGCCUGCGGCUUAAUUUGACUCAACGCGGGGAAACUUACCCGGUCCGGACAUCGGAAGGAUUGACAGACUGAUCGCUCUUUCAUGAUACGGUGAAAGGUGGUGCAUGGCCGUUCAUAGUUGGUGGAGCGAUUUGUCUGGUUAAUUCCGUUAACGAACGAGACUUCUUCCUUCAUUUAGUAGAUUUAAUUGGGGUUUAGAUCAACUAAUUGAAGGGACUAACGCUAUUUAAAAGCGUAGGAAGUAAUCCGAUAACAGGUCUGUUAUGCCCUUAGAUGUCCGGGGCCGCACGCGGG